Molecule: long non-coding RNA, 208 nt
Organism: Cyprinus carpio (common carp)
Lineage: Eukaryota; Metazoa; Chordata; Actinopteri; Cypriniformes; Cyprinidae
Exons: 3
Source: RefSeq, a predicted model, not a curated record
CUGAGCUACAAACAUCGAGGUCUCGUUCAUUAAUUAAGAUAAAACAACAGCGUUCAGGUUUGGAGCGACGUGAGGGAUGCCAUGACGUGUAAAACACACCUGCACAUUGGCAAAGUCAACCCGGUUGAGAUCGCUGAGCAUCUGGUUGAUCUGGGAGGUGUUCUGCAGCACUGCACGGGCCCGCCUGCGCCAGAUGAUUCAGAGACGU